This 320-nucleotide ribosomal RNA is filed under the name Penaeus vannamei (Pacific white shrimp). RNAcentral's name for it is "eukaryotic LSU rRNA". It matches the Rfam family "Eukaryotic large subunit ribosomal RNA", at positions 900 to 1211 of the family's 3401-position model. The record is from RNAcentral. Lineage: Eukaryota; Metazoa; Arthropoda; Malacostraca; Decapoda; Penaeidae.
GAUCGCCAGAGCUGAGUAUAGGGGCGAAAGACCAAUCGGAACUAUCUAGUAGCUUGGUUCCCUCCCGAAGUUUCCCUCAGGAUAGCUGGCACUCGCAUCGAACGAGUUCCAUCCCGGUAAAGCGAAUGACUAGGGGUGUUGGGGACGAAAUGUCCUCAGCCCAUUCUCAAACUUUAAAUGGGUGAGGUGCCGGGCUUGCUUCGCUGAAGCCCCGGACGAGAAUCGGAGUGCCUAGUGGGCCAAUUUUGGUAAGCAGAACUGGCGCUGUGGGAUGAACCAAACGUCGAGUUAAGGGGCCUAAAUGGAUGCUAAUUCCGAUC